Molecule: ribosomal RNA, 504 nt
Filed under: uncultured bacterium
Lineage: Bacteria
Description: partial 16S ribosomal RNA
Rfam family: Bacterial small subunit ribosomal RNA
Source: RNAcentral
GAUGAACGCUAGCGACAGGCUUAACACAUGCAAGUCGAGGGGCAGCACGGGAGUAGCAAUACAACUGGUGGCGACCGGCGCACGGGUGAGUAACGCGUAUGCAACCUACCUAUCAGAGGGGAAUAACCCGGCGAAAGUCGGACUAAUACCGCAUAAAACAGGGGCACCGCAUGGUGAUAUUUGUUAAAGAAAUUCGCUGAUAGAUGGGCAUGCGAUCCAUUAGGUAGUUGGUGAGGUAACGGCUCACCAAGCCGACGAUGGAUAGGGGAACUGAGAGGUUGGACCCCCACACUGGAACUGAGACACGGACCAGACUCCUACGGGAGGCAGCAGUGAGGAAUAUUGGUCAAUGGGCGAGAGCCUGAACCAGCCAAGUCGCGUGAAGGAAGAAGGAUCUAUGGUUCGUAAACUUCUUUUGCAGGGGAAUAAAGUGCAGGACGUGUCCUGUUUUGUAUGUACCCUGAGAAUAAGGAUCGGCUAACUCCGUGCCAGCAGCCGCGGUAA